RNAcentral lists this ribosomal RNA (433 nucleotides) under uncultured bacterium. RNAcentral's name for it is "partial 16S ribosomal RNA". It matches the Rfam family "Bacterial small subunit ribosomal RNA", at positions 29 to 507 of the family's 1533-position model. The record is from RNAcentral.
AACGAACGCUGGCGGCAUGCCUAACACAUGCAAGUCGAACGAGACCUUCGGGUCUAGUGGCGCACGGGUGCGUCACGCGUGGGAACCUGCCCUUAGGUUCGGCAUAACUCCCCGACAGGGGUGCUAAUACCGGAUAAUGUCUUCGGCCCAAAGAUUUAUCGCCUUUGGAUGGGCCCUCGUUGGAUUAGCUAGUUGGUAGGGUAAAAGCCUACCACGGCGACGAUCCAUAGCUGGUCUGAGAGGAUGAUCAGCCACACUGGGACUGAGACACGGUCCAGACUCCUACGGGAGGGGGGAAAGGGGGAUAGAGGAAAAUGGGGGGAGGGCUGAAGGAGCAAGGACGGGUGAGUGAUGAAGGCAUUAGGGAAGAAAAGCGCUUGUAACCGGGAUGAUAAUGACAGUACCGGGAGAAUAAGCACCGGCUAACUCCGUG